CGGGCGGGUGAGUAAUGUAUGGGGAUCUGCCUGAUGGCGGGGGAUAACUACUGGAAACGGUAGCUAAUACCGCAUAAUGUCUACGGACCAAAGCGGGGGACCUCCGGGCCUCGCGCCAUCAGAUGAACCCAUAUGGGAUUAGCUAGUAGGUAAGGUAACGGCUUACCUAGGCGACGAUCCCUAGCUGGUCUGAGAGGAUGAUCAGCCACACUGGGACUGAGACACGGCCCAG
Molecule: ribosomal RNA, 232 nt
Filed under: uncultured bacterium
Lineage: Bacteria
Description: partial 16S ribosomal RNA
Rfam family: Bacterial small subunit ribosomal RNA
Source: RNAcentral